RNAcentral lists this non-coding RNA (96 nucleotides) under Butyrivibrio hungatei. RNAcentral describes it as "THF-I sequence". It matches the Rfam family "THF (Tetrahydrofolate) riboswitch aptamer". Rfam says of the family: THF riboswitch presents a pseudoknot that joins P1-P2 and the loop of P3 and two THF binding. The record is from Rfam by way of RNAcentral. Lineage: Bacteria; Bacillati; Bacillota; Clostridia; Lachnospirales; Lachnospiraceae.
CGCAGAGUAGAGACAUAAGCGUUAAGUGCCUUUUGAACAGGGAGUUGUCAUUAGGACGAAGGUUUAUCCGCGGUUUACGUCUCGCAUCCCGCUGCU